AUCUCAUAAGUUCCAUUUCUUUCAAGAAAAGUCUAGAAAAUAAAAGAAGAGAAGAAGAGAAGCUCUAGACUAGAGAGAAAGACCUAUGGAUUUGGAGGAGAAAAGAGCACCAAAAUGUCACCAAGCAGUCUCAAAGUUCUAGCCGCGCUAGGAGAGCUUCUAAGGCAAGUUUCGACGAGUUUGACGAGUUUUGGGCAAGAAAAACAAGUUGGACGCAUAAGCGUAGCUAGUAAGGCGCGGCACAGGUAUGUAAAGCUAACUGUUCCUUCUUUUGGCAUGUAUUUGGCAUAAGUAUGUAAGGCUUACCCUUUUCUUUCAAGGCAUGAUUCCGAUGUUAUGGUUUCAUAAGUGCUUCCAUAUUUUCUUUGUUUUCAAAAGCUAGGUGUCAAUGGUCCCAAGGAAAUGACUUCUUAUAACCCGUCAAUGUUUUCCAAAAUAUCUAUAGUUUCCCAAAACAAAGGUUUACCCUUCUUUCUCUUGGCAUGUUUUGACAUAAGUAUAUAGAACUACUCUUUCUUUUGGCAUGGGUUUUUAUGAAACAAGUAUAUGACAUUUUAUACAAUUUCAAGGAAGUCCUAUUCGUAGAGCCACUAGGAUGGCCAAUUUUCUUGAGUUUCCAAAGGAUAUUUUCUCGUGCUUAGAUAUGUGUAUAUGAUUCCAAAAGUUUUAUUGUGAUAUAAUCCAUGGAAAUUUUCGAAAGGUACUUGACAUGACUCUUGUCCUGAUUUUUAAAUCAUAGCUCAUUCUGAUUAUUCUACGAGUCUUGAAAAUUAGUCCUAUGUGCAUAUGUAUACAAUUUGGCGCCUUACAAGAUUGUGACCUUAUUCUACGUUCUCUUAAUAGUAUCCUUCGUUGAUAGUCUCAUCUUAUAAUAAUUGUUCCUUCAAGGUGAGACAAAGCGACCAUGGUUAGUCUAUAAUAUAAUCGGAGGUUACCGACCUUCCGUCACUCCGAUAAAUACACGACUUUCAUUGGGCUCUCGUGCAUGUUGUCUAUAUGUAUAUGUAUAUGUAUAUGGGGGAUAUGGGGAGGUGUAUAUGUGGCGCUAUAGGCGCAUUCCCACCUGAUCAGUUGGAGUAAUUUUCAUCCCGGACGCGGGACAUAUGUGGGCGAGCCGACGUUGUUCGGUGAUAUGACUUUUAUUUUCUAUGUAUAUGAAAAAGAAAUGUUUAUAAAGAUAAGACAAGCAUGCAUGGCAUCCGGCCUAAAAGGCACUCAUAUGUACAGGUUGCUUCUCUACCUCAUGAUAUAUUCUAUAUUUCUAUUAUGUUAUUAUUCAUAUUUAUAUUCCUUACUAUGUUACUAUUCAUGCCUUACAUACUCAGUACAAAGCUCGUACUGACCCCUUUUUUCUUCGGAGGCUGCGUUUCAUGCCGCGCAGGUACACUCAGAUGAGUAGAAGCUAUUGUAGAAGAUGUUCCAGCGGGGUUAGAAACUCCACUUGUUCUGGAGUGCUGCCGAGUCAGAGUUUAUGCGCUAUGAUGUUUCAUUCGAAGUUAGAGACUUUGCAGACAGAGUCGUGGGUAUAGAGUGUCAGCUUUGUAAGUGGUGUCACCAGCCGAUAGGUUAUUAUGUCAUACGUCACGAGUUUUAUGGGAUGAUAGAUUUUGGAGAAAAAAAAGAUUCGAGAAGCUUAGCUAUAGUUUUCAUUUCUUAUUGAUGUAAAAAUCUAAAGAGAUUAAGUAUGUACUAUGAAGCAGCGGGUUCGCUCGGCUCCAAGCAUGGGAUCGGGUGCCCAUCACACCCUAUUAAUAUCGGGGUGUGAAAAAAUUAAUAAGAUAAAUGAAUGUCUAAAGGUUACAUAAGUUUAAAAAAAAUGGCACUAAUGGCCACAU
This is a long non-coding RNA of Solanum dulcamara, 1835 nucleotides long. RefSeq lists it as uncharacterized. The record is from RefSeq and is a predicted model, not a curated record. The transcript is spliced from 3 exons. NCBI's taxonomy places the organism in Eukaryota, Viridiplantae, Streptophyta, Magnoliopsida, Solanales, Solanaceae.